AUUGAACGCUGGCGGCAUGCUUUACACAUGCAAGUCGAACGAUGAACCUUAGCUUGCUAAGGGGAUUAGUGGUGAACGGGUGAGUAAUGUAUUGGAACGUAUCAAAUAAUGGGGGAUAACUAGUCGAAAGAUUAGCUAAUACCGCAUACGUCCUACGGGAGAAAGCUAGGGACCUUCGGGCUUGCAGUUAAUGGAGCGGCCGAUAUCUGAUUGGCUAGUUGGUGGGGUAAAGGCGCACCAAGGCGACGAUCAGUAGCUGGUCGGAGAGGACGACCAGCCACACGGGAGCGGGAGCACGGUCGAUGCGCCGAAGGGAGGCAGCAGUGGGGAAUUUUGGACAAUGGGCGAAAGCCAGAUCCAGCCAUUCCGCGUGAGUGAAGAAGGCCUUCGGGUUGUAAAGCUCUUUCGCAAGAGAAUAAAACUUAGGCUCUAACAUAGCUUGAGGUUGACGGUACCUUGAUAAGAAGCACCGGCUAACUACGUGCCAGCAGCCGCCGUAA
Molecule: ribosomal RNA, 500 nt
Filed under: uncultured bacterium
Lineage: Bacteria
Description: partial 16S ribosomal RNA
Rfam family: Bacterial small subunit ribosomal RNA
Source: RNAcentral